Molecule: ribosomal RNA, 418 nt
Filed under: uncultured Lachnospiraceae bacterium
Lineage: Bacteria; Bacillati; Bacillota; Clostridia; Lachnospirales; Lachnospiraceae
Description: bacterial SSU rRNA
Rfam family: Bacterial small subunit ribosomal RNA
Source: RNAcentral
GUGAAGAAGUAUUUCGGUAUGUAAAGCUCUAUCAGCAGGGAAGAAAGACUCGUAAGAGAGAUGACGGUACCUGACUAAGAAGCCCCGGCUAACUACGUGCCAGCAGCCGCGGUAAUACGUAGGGGGCAAGCGUUAUCCGGAUUUACUGGGUGUAAAGGGAGCGCAGACGGCUUAGCAAGUCUGAAGUGAAACCCCACGGCUCAACCGUGGGCUUGCUUUGGAAACUGUUAGGCUAGAGUACUGGAGAGGUAAGCGGAAUUCCUAGUGUAGCGGUGAAAUGCGUAGAUAUUAGGAGGAACAUCGGUGGCGAAGGCGGCUUACUGGACAGCAACUGACGUUGAGGCUCGAAGGCGUGGGGAGCAAACAGGAUUAGAUACCCUGGUAGUCCACGCGGUAAACGAUGAAUACUAGGUGUUGG